Molecule: ribosomal RNA, 601 nt
Filed under: uncultured bacterium
Lineage: Bacteria
Description: bacterial SSU rRNA
Rfam family: Bacterial small subunit ribosomal RNA
Source: RNAcentral
CUGACGAGGCCUUUACUGACGCUAAAGCUCGAAGGUGCGGGUAUCGAACAGGAUUAGAUACCCUGGUAGUCCGCACGGUAAACGAUGGAUGCCCGCUGUUUGCGAUACACUGUGAGCGGCCAAGCGAAAGCGUUAAGCAUCCCACCUGGGGAGUACGCCGGCAACGGUGAAACUCAAAGGGAUUGACGGGGGCCCGCACAAGCGGAGGAACAUGUGGUUUAAUUCGAUGAUACGCGAGGAACCUUACCCGGGCUUGAACUGCAGGAGAACGAUACAGAGAUGUUGAGGUCCCUCGGGACUCCUGUGGAGGUGCUGCAUGGUUGUCGUCAGCUCGUGCCGUGAGGUGUCGGCUUAAGUGCCAUAACGAGCGCAACCCCUCUCCGUAGUUGCCAUCGGGUGAUGCCGGGCACUCUGCGGACACUGCCACCGUAAGGUGCGAGGAAGGUGGGGAUGACGUCAAAUCAGCACGGCCCUUACGUCCGGGGCUACACACGUGUUACAAUGGGUGGUACAGAGCGUCGGUGCUGCGCAAGCCGCAUCCAAUCAUGAAAGCCAUCCUCAGUUCGGACUGGGGUCUGCAACCCGACCCCACGAAGCUGGA